This 253-nucleotide ribosomal RNA is filed under the name uncultured bacterium. Its description in RNAcentral is "partial 16S ribosomal RNA". It matches the Rfam family "Bacterial small subunit ribosomal RNA", at positions 524 to 776 of the family's 1533-position model. The record is from RNAcentral.
UACAGAGGGUGCAAGCGUUAAUCGGAAUUAUUGGGCGUAAAGGGUGCGUAGGUGGUUUAAUAAGUUAGAUGUGAAAUUCCUGGGCUUAACCUGGGGACUGCGUCUAAUACUGUUAGGCUAGAGUACUGUAGAGGGGAGUGGAAUUUCCGGUGUAGCGGUGAAAUGCGUAGAUAUCGGAAGGAACAUCAGUGGCGAAGGCGACUCUCUGGACAGAUACUGACACUGAGGCACGAAAGCGUGGGGAGCAAACAGG